Molecule: ribosomal RNA, 492 nt
Filed under: uncultured bacterium
Lineage: Bacteria
Description: partial 16S ribosomal RNA
Rfam family: Bacterial small subunit ribosomal RNA
Source: RNAcentral
AGUGAACGCUGGCGGUAGGCCUAACACAUGCAAGUCGAACGGCAGCACAGUAAGAGCUUGCUCUUACGGGUGGCGAGUGGCGGACGGGUGAGGAAUACAUCGGAAUCUACUUUUUCGUGGGGGAUAACGUAGGUAAACUUACGCUAAUACCGCAUACGACCUACGUGUGAAAGCAGGGGAUCUUCGGACCUUGCGCGAUUGAAUGAGCCGAUGUCGGAUUAGCUAGUUGGCGGGGUAAAGGCCCACCAAGGCGACGAUCCGUAGCUGGUCUGAGAGGAUGAUCAGCCACAAGGGAACUGAGACACGGUCCAGACUCCUACGGGAGGCAGCAGUGGGGAAUAUUGGACAAGGGGCGCAAGCCUGAUCCAGCCAGACCGCGUGGGUGAAGAAGGCCUUCGGGUUGUAAAGCCCGUUUGUUGGGAAAGAAAAGCAGCAGGUUAAUACCCCGCUGUUCUGACGGUACCCAAAGAAUAAGCACCGGCUAACUUCGUG